This 284-nucleotide unclassified non-coding RNA is filed under the name Streptomyces sampsonii. RNAcentral's name for it is "partial 16S-23S ribosomal RNA intergenic spacer". Lineage: Bacteria; Bacillati; Actinomycetota; Actinomycetes; Kitasatosporales; Streptomycetaceae. The record is from RNAcentral.
AAGGAGCACUUCUUGACUGUCGGCCCUCGGGCUUGGUGGUCCAGAGGCCAGUUCAUCAGCGAAUGUCUGAUGCUGGUUGCUCAUGGGUGGAACGUUGACUAUUCGGCACUGUCGGUCUGCUUGGACUGUGAGUACUGCUUCGGCGUGGAAAACAGUUCAGGGGGUUGAGGGUGUCGGGCACGCUGUUGGGUGUCUGAGGGAGCGGCCACGAUGUGGCUGUUUCUUCGGUUACCGGCCCCGGUAUAGGUCUGCUUCGGCGGGUUGUGACGGGUGGUUGGUCGUUG